This 253-nucleotide ribosomal RNA is filed under the name uncultured bacterium. RNAcentral's name for it is "partial 16S ribosomal RNA". It matches the Rfam family "Bacterial small subunit ribosomal RNA", at positions 524 to 776 of the family's 1533-position model. The record is from RNAcentral.
UACGGGGGGGGUAAGCGUUGUUCGGAAUUACUGGGCGUAAAGGGCUCGUAGGCGGCCAACUAAGUCAGACGUGAAAUCCCUCAGCUUAACUGGGGAACUGCGUCUGAUACUGGAUGGCUUGAGUGUGGGAGAGGAAUGCGGAAUUCCAGGUGUAGCGGUGAAAUGCGUAGAUAUCUGGAGGAACACCGGUGGCGAAGGCGGCAUUCUGGACCAUAACUGACACUGAGAGACGAAAGCCAGGGGAGCAAACGGG